Molecule: ribosomal RNA, 743 nt
Filed under: uncultured Arthrobacter sp.
Lineage: Bacteria; Bacillati; Actinomycetota; Actinomycetes; Micrococcales; Micrococcaceae
Description: bacterial SSU rRNA
Rfam family: Bacterial small subunit ribosomal RNA
Source: RNAcentral
ACCUUGUUACGACUUGGCCAUGAUCAAACUAAGAGUUUGAUCAUGGCUCAGGAUGAACGCUGGCGGCGUGCUUAACACAUGCAAGUCGAACGCUGAAGCUGGGUGCUUGCACCUGGUGGAUGAGUGGCGGACGGGUGAGUAACACGUGAGUAACCUGCCCUUUACUUCGGGAUAAGCCUGGGAAACUGGGUCUAAUACCGGAUAUUUACUUCCUAUCGCAUGGUGGGUUGUGGAAAGAUUUUUUGGUUUUGGAUGGACUCGCGGCCUAUCAGCUUGUUGGUGAGGUAGUGGCUUACCAAGGCGAUGACGGGUAGCCGGCCUGAGAGGGUGACCGGCCACACUGGGACUGAGACACGGCCCAGACUCCUACGGGAGGCAGCAGUGGGGAAUAUUGCACAAUGGGCGAAAGCCUGAUGCAGCGACGCCGCGUGAGGGAUGACGGCCUUCGGGUUGUAAACCUCUUUCAGUAGGGAAGAAGCUUUUGUGACGGUACCUGCAGAAGAAGCGCCGGCUAACUAUGUGCCAGCAGCCGCGGUAAUACAUAGGGCGCAAGCGUUAUCCGGAAUUAUUGGGCGUAAAGAGCUCGUAGGCGGUUUGUCGCGUCUGUCGUGAAAGUCCGGGGCUUAACUCCGGAUCUGCGGUGGGUACGGGCAGGCUAGAGUGCAGUAGGGGAGACUGGAAUUCCUGGUGUAGCGGUGAAAUGCGCAGAUAUCAGGAGGAACACCGAUGGCGAAGGCAGGUCU